This 401-nucleotide transfer-messenger RNA is filed under the name Burkholderiales. RNAcentral describes it as "Bordetella_C sp002261225 Standard tmRNA". It matches the Rfam family "transfer-messenger RNA". Rfam says of the family: Bacterial tmRNA, also known as 10Sa RNA or SsrA, is named for its dual tRNA and mRNA-like properties. Its role is to liberate the mRNA from a stalled ribosome. Lineage: Bacteria; Pseudomonadati; Pseudomonadota; Betaproteobacteria. The record is from RNAcentral. RNAcentral also lists the same sequence under 1 other name.
GGGGCCGAUCCGGAUUCGACGUGGGUCGCGAAACAGUCAGGGCAUGCCGAGCACCAGUAAGCUCGUAAAUCCACUGGACAACACAUAAACGCCAACGACGACGUUUACGCUCAACAGCCGGCCCUGCUGGCUGCUUAAUUGAGCCGCUGCACUGAUUUGUCUUUGGGUCAGGUGGAGGGGGGCAACUCCCUAGAGGGCAACCUCGAACCACAGCAGUGUCAUUGAACAAAGAAUCGACGUAUUCCGGGGUCGCACGGGGUACGUCUAAAUUACGCGACUCGCCUCGGUCCGGCCUGUCGGUUGGCUAAGUCUCGGGGUUAAAUCCAAAUAGAUCGACUAUGCAUGUAGAUCUGCCUGCGGAGGGCUUGCGGACGGGGGUUCAAUUCCCCCCGGCUCCACCA